Molecule: ribosomal RNA, 492 nt
Filed under: uncultured bacterium
Lineage: Bacteria
Description: partial 16S ribosomal RNA
Rfam family: Bacterial small subunit ribosomal RNA
Source: RNAcentral
AGUGAACGCUGGCGGUAUGCCUAACACAUGCAAGUCGAACGGCAGCACAGUAAGAGCUUGCUCGUACGGGUGGCGAGUGGCGGACGGGUGAGGAAUACAUCGGAAUCGACGUUUUCGUGGGGGAUAACGUAGGGAAACUUACGCUAAUACCGCAUACGACCUACGGGUGAAAGCAGGUGAUCUUCGGACCUUGCGCGAUUGAAUGAGCCGAUGUCGGAUUAGCUAGGUGGCGGGGUAAAGGCCUACCAAGGCGACGAUCAGUAGCUGGUCUGAGAGGAUGACCAGCCACACUGGAACUGAGACACGGUCCAGACUCCUACGGGAGGCAGCAGUGGGGAAUAUUGGACAAUGGGCGCAAGCCUGAUCCAGCCAUGCCGCGUGUGUGAAGAAGGCCUUCGGGUUGUAAAGCACUUUUGUUGGGAAAGAAAACCAGCAGGUUAAUACCCCGCUGUUCUGACGGUACCCAAAGAAUAAGCACCGGCUAACUUCGUG